RNAcentral lists this transfer RNA (93 nucleotides) under Lysobacter sp. RNAcentral's name for it is "tRNA-Ser". It matches the Rfam family "tRNA". From Rfam's summary of the family: Transfer RNA (tRNA) molecules are approximately 80 nucleotides in length. Their secondary structure includes four short double-helical elements and three loops (D, anti-codon, and T loops). RNAcentral also lists the same sequence under 8 other names. Lineage: Bacteria; Pseudomonadati; Pseudomonadota; Gammaproteobacteria; Lysobacterales; Lysobacteraceae. The record is from RNAcentral.
GGAGACUUGCCCGAGUGGCCGAAGGGGCUCCCCUGCUAAGGGAGUAUGGGGUCAAAAGCUCCAUCGAGGGUUCGAAUCCCUCAGUCUCCGCCA